This is a non-coding RNA of Trichobilharzia regenti, 50 nucleotides long. The record is from Rfam. Lineage: Eukaryota; Metazoa; Platyhelminthes; Trematoda; Strigeidida; Schistosomatidae.
GUACUGCUGAAGAGUCCCAAAUUGGGACGAAACAGCUGGCUGUCCAGUAC